AUUGAACGCUGGCGGCAUGCCUAACACAUGCAAGUCGAACGGCAGCACAAUAAAGAUUUCGGUCUUUAUGGGUGGCGAGUGGCGGACGGGUGAGUAACGCGUAGGAAUCUGUCCUGGAGAGUGGGAUAACCCGAGGAACCUCGGGCUAAUACUGCAUGACAUUGAGAGAUCAAAAGCAGGGGACCGAAAGGCCUUGCGCUCUGGGGUGAGCCUACGUCGGAUUAGCUAGUUGGUGGGGUAAAGGCCUACCAAGGCGACGAUGCGUAGCUGGUCUGAGAGGAUGACCAGCCACACUGGGACUGAGACACGGCCCAGACUCCUACGGGAGGCAGCAGUGGGGAAUCUUGGACAAUGGGGGAAACCCUGAUCCAGCGAUGCCGCGUGUGUGAAGAAGGCCUUCGGGUUGUAAAGCACUUUAGGUGGGGAAGAAAGGUAGCGAGUGAAUAACUUUCUGCUGUGACGGUACCCACAGAAUAAGCACCGGCUAACUCUGUGCCAGCCGCCGCAGUAA
This 511-nucleotide ribosomal RNA is filed under the name uncultured bacterium. RNAcentral's name for it is "partial 16S ribosomal RNA". It matches the Rfam family "Bacterial small subunit ribosomal RNA", at positions 30 to 523 of the family's 1533-position model. The record is from RNAcentral.